Molecule: unclassified non-coding RNA, 232 nt
Filed under: Hevea brasiliensis (rubber tree)
Lineage: Eukaryota; Viridiplantae; Streptophyta; Magnoliopsida; Malpighiales; Euphorbiaceae
Source: RNAcentral
AAGGAAUUGGCGGGGCAGAUUUUUGAAGAGUUGAAAAAUGUGGGAAAGAAACAUUCUUUGAGUGCAGGCCUUUUAAUAGGUGGGCGUAAAGGUGUCGAGACAGAGAAAGAACAAGUCAAUACUCGGAACAUAUUGGUGUGCACUCCUGGCCGACUACUGCAACACAUGGAUGAGACCCACUAUUUUGAUUGUUCACAGCUCCAGGUUCUAGUGCUUGAUGAGGCGGAUCGGA